ACCAAACAACGGUUCUCACGGUAGCCUGAAUCAUCUUCUGAAGGCACCAUUUUACCAGCCGUCGCAUGCAGAGGAAUUGUCAAAGUCUGCUGGCUGUGGUUUUACUACUCCAUUGCCUAAGGACUCACUAAACUGCUCCUGCCUCGCACUGCAGACUUCUGGUCAAGAAGAGCAAGUCAACCAAAGACUAAAUCUCAGUGGAGGAGAGGGUAAGUCAGCAGCGACUGCGACGCUGAGAGCUGACGGCACACAACAUCACCCUUUGAGGUUUCCCAAACUGAGCUCACGAAGACUUUUGAGUGUAGGUUUUUUGGUCGCUGUAGAAGAGGAACAAGCAAGCAGACAGAAAUCUAAUAUCAGAUAUCAGAGCAGCUAGACUGGAGCUGCAGUGUCCCCAGGACAUCCUUUCAGUGCUGUGUCCCAUCCAUGUCUGCUAGUCCCUGGCUAAGAAACGAACAGAUGAAAGGCCUGGGCUUGUACCUGACCUCUGUAGCUGUCCUGCUGUCUGACCUGGGGCCAAUCAUUUGGUUUCUCUGGCCUCCAUCUCUUCAUCUUUCGUCUCAGCAACAGAGAAGACAAAUUUGCCAUUUGGGAGGCCCAGGGUGAUACAGAAGAACAAAGACCACUGUCUGCUUUACCACAGGGAAUACGUCAGUGGGUUUGGGAAAGCUAUGAAGAUGCCCAUGUGGAGUUCAUACACCGUUCCCAAGCCG
This 713-nucleotide long non-coding RNA is filed under the name Rattus norvegicus (Norway rat). RNAcentral describes it as "long non-coding RNA NONRATT000088". Lineage: Eukaryota; Metazoa; Chordata; Mammalia; Rodentia; Muridae. The record is from RNAcentral.